UACGAAGGGGGCUAGCGUUGCUCGGAAUCACUGGGCGUAAAGGGUGCGUAGGCGGGUCUUUAAGUCAGGGGUGAAAUCCUGGAGCUCAACUCCAGAACUGUCUUUGAUACUGAAGAUCUUGAGUUCGGGAGAGGUGAGUGGAACUGCGAGUGUAGAGGUGAAAUUCGUAGAUAUUCGCAAGAACACCAGUGGCGAAGGCGGCUCACUGGCCCGAUACUGACGCUGAGGCACGAAAGCGUGGGGAGCAAACAGG
This 253-nucleotide ribosomal RNA is filed under the name uncultured bacterium. RNAcentral describes it as "partial 16S ribosomal RNA". It matches the Rfam family "Bacterial small subunit ribosomal RNA", at positions 524 to 776 of the family's 1533-position model. The record is from RNAcentral.